Coregonus clupeaformis (lake whitefish) is the source of this 1107-nucleotide non-coding RNA. NCBI's taxonomy places the organism in Eukaryota, Metazoa, Chordata, Actinopteri, Salmoniformes, Salmonidae. The record is from the annotation of a RefSeq genome assembly.
AGCACAGUGAAUUUACUACAUUCCUGUAUUGUUGACAUACUUGGCCAUAGACAUUGCUGCAGUGUAUGUGUGGCUCAGCACCGACCAGGAGUAUACUUUCACCUGUCCAGUUCUUUUACAUCAAUGCAAAUGAAGGAAAGGAGACGUGAAGAGGAAGGCGCUUCAGAUUACUGAGAUGCACUCAUAGAUUUCCUGCUACCCUCAUCCUCUACACUUGAGGAAACAUCAGGCACCCUACAGGGCAAUACUACUUGGACAAACCAAAUCAUUGUGACCCAGACACCUGGUAUGGUGAAAAUGAUAGCUGGUGGCACGGUGACUUUGGAGUGCCACGUUGAUCAGAUUCUCACCUAUUGCCACUCUGUGACUUGGAUGAAAGUAGACCCCAGGACUGGAACAAUGAGCACAAUAACAAACGUAAAGAUUAAUACGACCUCUGAGGAAGGGCAACGGGACAGAGUAUGUUCGGCAACCAUCACCAACGCAAUAGUGAGCGACUCUGGCAUGUAUUACUGUUUGGCUGUUCACUCGAAGGCGGUCCACACUGGCAAUGGAUCCAAUCUAAUCGUCACAGAGAGCAGCACUGAAUUUCCAACCAUCAAAAUCAUCUCAUCAUCAGACAGUGACGGCUCCUCCGCCCCUCUGCUGUGUUUGGUGUCAGGAGUGGUCCCGUCUCAGGUCCAUGUGUUCUGGCUCAUAGACGGGAGAAAGGAGAGAGGACUUACUGAUUCCACCUGGACAGACAACAGUGAUUCAGCCACAGAGUUCACUAGGAACCAGAUUCUGGUCCAGGCAGAGGAGUGGGACAGAGGGGUGCAGUGUACAUGUGUGGUGGAGUUUGAGGGAAAUUCUACUACCAAAACUGUGCAAAGAAUAGAUCUUGGCGUGCUGUGUUACGUCACAGUGUGGAUAUACAGACUCCUGGGAAUAACUGCCUGGCUUCUGCUGUUGAUCAUGGCUGCCACUGUGGCAGCAUGCAGAGGCAAAAACAGAGGUGUUCAGAGGAAUGAUACCUCAAAGAACAGGGGAAAAAGGCAUAAUUCAUCAUAAAAAGGAAAAGGUUUUAUAGUUUUUCAUUUGUACAAAGUCAUUUUGGCAGCAUUGACA